GGCAUGGUGGGUUAGUGGUUAGCACUGUUGCCUCACAACUCCAGGUCGGGGGUUCGAAUCCCACCCCCAGCCC
This is a non-coding RNA of Pangasius djambal, 73 nucleotides long. NCBI's taxonomy places the organism in Eukaryota, Metazoa, Chordata, Actinopteri, Siluriformes, Pangasiidae. The record is from the annotation of a GenBank genome assembly.